RNAcentral lists this ribosomal RNA (595 nucleotides) under uncultured marine eukaryote. Its description in RNAcentral is "SSU rRNA". It matches the Rfam family "Eukaryotic small subunit ribosomal RNA", at positions 1 to 598 of the family's 1831-position model. The record is from RNAcentral.
AACCUGGUUGAUCCUGCCAGUAGUCAUAUGCUUGUCUCAAAGAUUAAGCCAUGCAUGUCUCAGUAUAAGUCUCAACACGGCGAAACUGCGAAUGGCUCAUUAAAACGGUUUUAUUCUAUUUGAUGGCCGACUACCCAUAUGGAUAACUGUGGAAAUUCUAGAGCUAAUACAUGCGUACAGACCCGACUUCGCGGAAGGGUUGUAUUUAUUAGUUACAGAACCAAUACCUUCGGGUUUUUGGAUGAUUCAUAAUAAAUGAACGGAGCGCGUUGGCUUGUGCCGGCGCCGAAUCAUUCGAGAUUCUGACCUAUCAGCUUUCGACGGUAGUGUAUUGGACUACCGUGGCAUUGACGGGUAACGGAGAAUUAGGGUUCGAUUCCGGAGAGGGAGCCCGAGAAACGGCUACCACAUCUAAGGAAGGCAGCAGGCGCGCAAAUUACCCAAUGCCGAUACGGCGAGGUAGUGACAAGAAGUAACAAAGCAAGUCUCUGACGAGAUUUUGCUAUUGGAAUGAGUAGAAUUUAAAUCCCUUUUCGACUAUCAAUUGGAGGGCAAGUCUGGUGCCAGCAGCCGCGGUAAUUCCAGCUCCAAUAGC